Long non-coding RNA from Zerene cesonia (dogface butterfly), 274 nucleotides. RefSeq lists it as uncharacterized. The record is from RefSeq and is a predicted model, not a curated record. NCBI's taxonomy places the organism in Eukaryota, Metazoa, Arthropoda, Insecta, Lepidoptera, Pieridae. The transcript has 2 exons.
AAUAACCGCACAUACUAAUUUGAAUUGAGCCCGUUACUGCAUCUCUUUCAACAUGUUCGGGCUAAGUAUCUUUGUGUAUUUCCUAAUGUGGUUAACACAGAAGUUAUCCGAGUUACCCAGUCCUCCGCCACCAGAGCAGGAGCCAACUUACGCUCCUGAUCGUCACUUGCCACCAGUUCAAAAACCUAUUUUGCCAGGAUAAAAAUAACAAAUUGGGAAGACUAUGUUAUAAAUACAUACUGUUGAAAGCAAUAAACCUUUAGCGUAAUCUAAA